Molecule: ribosomal RNA, 487 nt
Filed under: Pisione papuensis
Lineage: Eukaryota; Metazoa; Annelida; Polychaeta; Phyllodocida; Pisionidae
Description: partial 16S ribosomal RNA
Rfam family: Bacterial large subunit ribosomal RNA
Source: RNAcentral
CUUUAGCUUAACUCAUUAAAGGUAAGUCCUGCCCAGUGAAUUUUUCAACGGCCGCGGUAUCCUGACCGUGCAAAGGUAGCAUAAUCAUUUGCCUUUUAAUUGGAGGCUUGUAUGAACGGAUAAACGAGGUUGAAUCUGUCUCCCCCUAAACCCCUGUAAACUAAUCUUUAGGUGAAGAAGCCUAAAUAUUUUGAAAAGACAAGAAGACCCUUUUGAGUUUUACAAUAUUUUUAACCUUUUAAAUAUUUGUUUGGUUGGGGCGACCAAGGAACAUUUUAAUCUUCCUAUAAACCCUGGAUCUUUAGAUCUUCUAUUUUGACCCUUCUUUGAUCAACUGAAUAAACUACCAUAGGGAUAACAGGCUUAUUUUCUUUGAGAGUUCACAUUAAUAAGAAAGUUUGGCACCUCGAUGUUGGCUUAGGGUAACCCUUAAAUGCAGAAGUUUAAAGUAGUUAGUUUGUUCAACUAUUAAAUCCCUACGUGAUCU